Molecule: ribosomal RNA, 254 nt
Filed under: uncultured bacterium
Lineage: Bacteria
Description: partial 16S ribosomal RNA
Rfam family: Bacterial small subunit ribosomal RNA
Source: RNAcentral
UACGUAGGGGGCAAGCGUUGUCCGGAUUUAUUGGGCGUAAAGAGCGUGUAGGCGGCCAUUCAGGUCAGCUGUGAAAACUCGAGGCUCAACCUCGAGACGUCGGUUGAAACCGUUUGGCUAGAGUCCGGAAGAGGAGAGUGGAAUUCCCGGUGUAGCGGUGAAAUGCGCAGAUAUCGGGAAGAACACCCGUGGCGAAGGCGGCUCUCUGGGACGGUACUGACGCUGAGACGCGAAAGCGUGGGGAGCAAACAGGG